RNAcentral lists this ribosomal RNA (460 nucleotides) under uncultured bacterium. Its description in RNAcentral is "partial 16S ribosomal RNA". It matches the Rfam family "Bacterial small subunit ribosomal RNA", at positions 338 to 795 of the family's 1533-position model. The record is from RNAcentral.
CCUACGGGAGGCAGCAGUGAGAAAUAUUGGUCAAUGGGCGCGAGCCUGAACCAGCCAAGUAGCGUGAAGGAUGACUGCCCUACGGGUUGUAAACUUCUUUUAUAAAGGCAUAAAGUGAGGCACGUGUGCCUUUUUGUAUGUACUUUAUGAAUAAGGAUCGGCUAACUCCGUGCCAGCAGCCGCGGUAAUACGGAGGAUCCGAGCGUUAUCCGGAGUUAUUGGGUUUAAAGGGAGCGUAGAUGGGUUGUUAAGUCAGUUGUGAAAGUUUGCGGCUCAACCGUAAAAUUGCAAUUGAUACUGGCAGCCUUGAGUCCAGUUGAGGUAGGCGGAAUUCGUGGUGUAGCUGUGAAAUGCUUAGAUAUCACGACGAACUCCGAUUGCGAAGGCAGCUUACUAAACUGCCACUGACAUUGAUGCUCGAAAGUGUUGGUAUCAAACAGGAUGAGAUACCCCUGUAGUC